Molecule: long non-coding RNA, 1311 nt
Organism: Aphis gossypii (cotton aphid)
Lineage: Eukaryota; Metazoa; Arthropoda; Insecta; Hemiptera; Aphididae
Exons: 4
Source: RefSeq, a predicted model, not a curated record
GUUUGGCGUCUUUCAGUCUUUGAGUCUUUUUGUCCGGACGUCCGGACUGUGCGCAGACAGAGCGCGACUCGCUUAUUAUUCCAGCAGUACACGGUAUACUUCAGUAACGCAUUUUGAAUAUUGGCUUACCUUUUCUCAAAGGAUUUAAGAUUUUUCAAAAAGGAGAGAAGUUUAACGUCUGUUGGUUUCUGUCAUCCAGAACAUAUACAUAUACCUAGAGCGCCAUUCGUUUAUCGUAUUUGCAGUACCCAGUUUACUUCAAUAAUGCAUUCAGCAAUUGGCUUACAUUUUUAAAGUAUUAAAGUUUGCGGAAACAAGAAAUUAUGGAUAGUAGCAGCAAUUGUAAUCAAAACAAACAAUUUUAUCUAAGUGAUGCAGUUAUUAAUGACUAAAUGAAAUUAAUAAUUACAUAUUAUGAAUCGGAUGUAUAUGUUUUUGUCAAAAGAAGGUCGAAAAAAAUUGAUUUAUUUUUGAAAAAAAAGCUGAUAUUUCCAAUAAAUUUAAAGGCAAUUAGUUAUUGGGCUUGGAGUAUUUUGCACAGACCAUUGGAGCUAAAACAAUCAAUUAAUUCCCUAAUCCUAAAACUAGGGAAUGGCUAUGACUAUAUUUGCUGAGUAUUAAGGAAGGGGUGCCACGUUUAAUUUUCACAAACACACAUGAGGUUGUUUAGACACCUGAUUUGUAGGAGCUCCUUAAAAAAAAUAGUGCCUGCAUGUACACAAGAAUAGAAUCGUUUGUCAGGAAGAUCCAUAACUAGUAGUGAUGAAUCUAUUUCUUUUGUAUCUACAUCUACAUGUCGGGUGAUGUUUUGACCCUCUAAAUUGGUUAUGCUCACUAAAUAUUCAGCAUCUGUACAUUCAAAUAUUAUAAAUAUUUAAAUUGUUGGAAAUAGAAGUUUUUAAAAAAUCAAUUUUGUUUAUCCAACUUUUAACCGAGUUAUAGAUUUGCUUUCAUUUAAGUUUAAAUAUAAAAUGUGUUGAAAACAUAUACAAUGAGGAGGAGUAUGUGGUCAUUUAGAUAAAAGCUUGUUUCACGAAUGAUGCUAAUAUAUGCUGCAAAAAUUAGCCCAUAACUUUCACAAACCAAAUUUUGUGUCAAUGGUCAUCAAUCAUCAUAUAACCGACAUUUCAUACUUUUAAACUUUACAAAGUUUACACAUGCAGAGUAACUAGUUCAGUCUGAAAACACAUUGAUGUCAGUCGUGGAAUGAUGGUGCUGGUGUUAUGAACAAAUUUUUGUGUUAUGGACUAUAAUACGUUAUUCAUUUUAUUGUAUUGUUUUUAAUUGUAAUAUUGGAAUAAUUAUAUACAA